Molecule: non-coding RNA, 28 nt
Filed under: Rattus norvegicus (Norway rat)
Lineage: Eukaryota; Metazoa; Chordata; Mammalia; Rodentia; Muridae
Source: RNAcentral
UGAAAUAACUAAGUUUAAUGCCCCCCUU